CCUGCCCCUAGAGGCAUUGCAGGUGUGACUGCUGUGUCACAUGUGAAUCAGUGAGGAGAGACAAAUUAGGUGAUGUUGAUGCUUAGUGUUCUGACCAAUGAGCAUCUGAAUGGUUAGUAGCAUAACAUU
This is a small nucleolar RNA of Grammomys surdaster, 129 nucleotides long. RefSeq annotates it as small nucleolar RNA SNORA17. The record is from RefSeq and is a predicted model, not a curated record. The transcript has a single exon. Lineage: Eukaryota; Metazoa; Chordata; Mammalia; Rodentia; Muridae.